GCUUACGGCCACACCUCCCUGAGCACGCCCGAUCUCGUCUGAUCUCGGAAGCUAAGCAGGGUCGGGCCCGUUUAGUACUUGGAUGGAGACCGCCUGUGAAUACCAGGUGCGGUAAGCC
RNAcentral lists this ribosomal RNA (118 nucleotides) under Esox lucius (northern pike). The record is from RNAcentral. Lineage: Eukaryota; Metazoa; Chordata; Actinopteri; Esociformes; Esocidae.